GGUGUAUUAGUUCAAUGGUAGAACCUGACGUUUCGGCCGUUAUGAUACCAGUUCGAAUCUGGUAUGCACUU
Molecule: non-coding RNA, 71 nt
Organism: Gnomoniopsis smithogilvyi
Lineage: Eukaryota; Fungi; Ascomycota; Sordariomycetes; Diaporthales; Gnomoniaceae
Source: the annotation of a GenBank genome assembly